Daucus carota subsp. sativus is the source of this 364-nucleotide long non-coding RNA. RefSeq lists it as uncharacterized. NCBI's taxonomy places the organism in Eukaryota, Viridiplantae, Streptophyta, Magnoliopsida, Apiales, Apiaceae. The record is from RefSeq and is a predicted model, not a curated record. The transcript has 2 exons.
GGAGGUUAUUAAGUUCCUAUAUGAGGUUUAUUAAUCUGGUUUUUGAUUAAGAUAUCCAAGUUUGGUUAUUGGUCGAGUCUAUUAAUCUAAUUCCUAAGGAACUGAACUUGGGCUCAGUGUCUAAUUCCAAGAAAGGGGGAGUGUUUUGUAUUAUUUUAAAAUUGCCGGAGGCAAUACAAAUGUUGAUAUGGGGUACCCCUUUUUUUGCUUCUUAUGUUGUCGGCAUAGUUCUUGUUUAUAUACUAUGUAAAGUUUAAGGGACAGACAUGGUUUCUUCUUAUCUCUCUCACCAAGUUGAAUUCUUAAUGUUGUUGGAUAGUCCUUAAAAGAUCCUUGUAACUUGGCUUCAAUCUGAGGACCUAGU